Molecule: long non-coding RNA, 763 nt
Filed under: Ananas comosus (pineapple)
Lineage: Eukaryota; Viridiplantae; Streptophyta; Magnoliopsida; Poales; Bromeliaceae
Description: long non-coding RNA (ACOM_LNC022078)
Source: RNAcentral
CUUUUUCACACCGUUUAAUGUAUUUUCUGUGGUUUCUUUUUUACUAGUGAAGGCCCGCGCUACGCGGCAAAAAAUUUAUAUAAAUUCUAAAAUAUUUUAAAUUAUAUAGUAAAUAAAAGACAUAAGUAGUACAUUAAUUUAUACAUUCAACUAUACUUUAAAAAAAAAAUAAUAGCUGUUAUGAGAGGUUCAAUAUUUGUCUUCACAGUCUUCAUCAACAUCACCUAAACUGUAAAGUUAGUAAUAUAAGAUUACCAUUUGUAAAAUAUCAACUAAUAAAUUUUAAUUUUAAUAAAAAAAGUUAGAAAAGGAAAAAAAGAAGAAAAAAGAUUGUUGGUCCCACAAGAAAAAGGGCAAAAAAAAAAUCCGUACCGCGCCGGCUCGCGCCCGCUCCCUCCCGCCCACAAUCCAUCGAAAUAAGGAGAUAUUCGAUGUAAAUUUAAAUUUCAAUUUAAAAUUAAAUUUUAAAUUUUAAAUAUAUAUAUAUAUAUAUAGAGAGAGAGAGUAUGGCUAGAAUACUUUUACAAGUAUCACCCAAGUGAUACUUGUGUGUUUUUAGUAUUUGGAUGGAGAGAUGUGAGAUUAAGAUGAUGGGGGUAGGUGGUGGUAGGUGGAAUAGUGUUUGAUCCAAGAGCUAUUUGUAAUCAAAAAGUAGAUCCAAUGGCUAAAAAGGUGAUAGCAACAUGGGAAUGAUAUUUGUAAAAGUAUCCUGGAUCAACUCUAUAUAUAUAUAUAUAUAUAUACAACACAAUAGACAUAUAUC